GUCCAGGGAUGGGAAUCGAACCCACAGUGUUCCGCUUACCGAGUUAGAUGCCAUGUCCACUAUAGGCUACCCUAGA
This 76-nucleotide transfer RNA is filed under the name Cordylochernes scorpioides. Its description in RNAcentral is "tRNA-Thr". The record is from RNAcentral. Lineage: Eukaryota; Metazoa; Arthropoda; Arachnida; Pseudoscorpiones; Chernetidae.